UUACGGCCAUAUCACGUAGAAAAACCGGUUCUCAUAUGAUCAUCGAAGUUAAGCAACUUCGAGCCUGGUUAGUACCUACAUGGGUAAUCACUUAGGAAUACCAAGUGCUGUAAG
Acanthosepion pharaonis is the source of this 114-nucleotide non-coding RNA. The record is from the annotation of a GenBank genome assembly. Lineage: Eukaryota; Metazoa; Mollusca; Cephalopoda; Sepiida; Sepiidae.